GGGUUGUGAGGUUAAGCGACUAAGCGUACACGGUGGAUGCCCUGGCAGUCAGAGGCGAUGAAGGACGUGCUAAUCUGCGAAAAGCGUCGGUAAGGUGAUAUGAACCGUUAUAACCGGCGAUGUCCGAAUGGGGAAACCCAGUGCAAUUCGUUGCACUAUCGUUAACUGAAUACAUAGGUUAACGAGGCGAACCGGGGGAACUGAAACAUCUAAGUACCCCGAGGAAAAGAAAUCAACCGAGAUUCCCCCAGUAGCGGCGAGCGAACGGGGAGCAGCCCAGAGUCUGAAUCAGCUUGUGUGUUAGUGGAACGGUCUGGAAAGUCCGACGGUACAGGGUGAUAGUCCCGUACACCAAAAUGCACAGGUUGUGAACUCGAAGAGUAGGGCGGGACACGUGGUAUCCUGUCUGAAUAUGGGGGGACCAUCCUCCAAGGCUAAAUACUCCUGACUGACCGAUAGUGAACCAGUACCGUGAGGGAAAGGCGAAAAGAACCCCGGCGAGGGGAGUGAAAAAGAACCUGAAACCGUGUACGUACAAGCAGUGGGAGCACCUUCGGGUGUGACUGCGUACCUUUUGUAUAAUGGGUCAGCGACUUAUAUUCUGUAGCAAGGUUAACCGUAUAGGGGAGCCGCAGGGAAACCGAGUCUUAACUGGGCGUUAAGUUGCAGGGUAUAGACCCGAAACCCGGUGAUCUAGCCAUGGGCAGGUUGAAGGUUGGGUAACACUAACUGGAGGACCGAACCGACUAAUGUUGAAAAAUUAGCGGAUGACUUGUGGCUGGGGGUGAAAGGCCAAUCAAACCGGGAGAUAGCUGGUUCUCCCCGAAAGCUAUUUAGGUAGCGCCUCGUGAAUUCAUCUUCGGGGGUAGAGCACUGUUUCGGCUAGGGGGUCAUCCCGACUUACCAACCCGAUGCAAACUACGAAUACCGAAGAAUGUUAUCACGGGAGACACACGGCGGGUGCUAACGUCCGUCGUGAAGAGGGAAACAACCCAGACCGCCAGCUAAGGUCCCAAAGUCAUGGUUAAGUGGGAAACGAUGUGGGAAGGCACAGACAGCCAGGAUGUUGGCUUAGAAGCAGCCAUCAUUUAAAGAAAGCGUAAUAGCUCACUGGUCGAGUCGGCCUGCGCGGAAGAUGUAACGGGGCUAAACCAUGCACCGAAGCUGCGGCAGCGACACUAUGUGUUGUUGGGUAGGGGAGCGUUCUGUAAGCCUGCGAAGGUGACCUGUGAGGGUUGCUGGAGGUAUCAGAAGUGCGAAUGCUGACAUAAGUAACGAUAAAGCGGGUGAAAAGCCCGCUCGCCGGAAGACCAAGGGUUCCUGUCCAACGUUAAUCGGGGCAGGGUGAGUCGACCCCUAAGGCGAGGCCGAAAGGCGUAGUCGAUGGGAAACAGGUUAAUAUUCCUGUACUUGGUGUUACUGCGAAGGGGGGACGGAGAAGGCUAUGUUAGCCGGGCGACGGUUGUCCCGGUUUAAGCAUGUAGGCUGNNNNNNNNNNNNNNNNNNNNNNNNNNNNNNNNNNNNNNNNNNNNNNNNNNNNNNNNNNNNNNNNNNNNNNNNNNNNNNNNNNNNNNNNNNNNNNNNNNNNUCCAGGCAAAUCCGGAUAAUCAAGGCUGAGGUGUGAUGACGAGGCACUACGGUGCUGAAGUAACAAAUGCCCUGCUUCCAGGAAAAGCCUCUAAGCAUCAGGUAACAUCAAAUCGUACCCCAAACCGACACAGGUGGUCAGGUAGAGAAUACCAAGGCGCUUGAGAGAACUCGGGUGAAGGAACUAGGCAAAAUGGUGCCGUAACUUCGGGAGAAGGCACGCUGGUGUGUAGGUGAAGCCCCUGCGGGUGGAGCUGAGACCAGUCGAAGAUACCAGCUGGCUGCAACUGUUUAUUAAAAACACAGCACUGUGCAAACACGAAAGUGGACGUAUACGGUGUGACGCCUGCCCGGUGCCGGAAGGUUAAUUGAUGGGGUUAUCCGUAAGGAGAAGCUCUUGAUCGAAGCCCCGGUAAACGGCGGCCGUAACUAUAACGGUCCUAAGGUAGCGAAAUUCCUUGUCGGGUAAGUUCCGACCUGCACGAAUGGCGUAAUGAUGGCCAGGCUGUCUCCACCCGAGACUCAGUGAAAUUGAACUCGCUGUGAAGAUGCAGUGUACCCGCGGCAAGACGGAAAGACCCCGUGAACCUUUACUAUAGCUUGACACUGAACAUUGAGCCUUGAUGUGUAGGAUAGGUGGGAGGCUUUGAAGCGUGGACGCCAGUCUGCGUGGAGCCAACCUUGAAAUACCACCCUUUAAUGUUUGAUGUUCUAACGUUGGCCCCUUACCGGGGUUGCGGACAGUGUCUGGUGGGUAGUUUGACUGGGGCGGUCUCCUCCCAAAGCGUAACGGAGGAGCACGAAGGUUAGCUAAUCCUGGUCGGACAUCAGGAGGUUAGUGCAAUGGCAUAAGCUAGCUUGACUGCGAGCGUGACGGCGCGAGCAGGUGCGAAAGCAGGUCAUAGUGAUCCGGUGGUUCUGAAUGGAAGGGCCAUCGCUCAACGGAUAAAAGGUACUCCGGGGAUAACAGGCUGAUACCGCCCAAGAGUUCAUAUCGACGGCGGUGUUUGGCACCUCGAUGUCGGCUCAUCACAUCCUGGGGCUGAAGUAGGUCCCAAGGGUAUGGCUGUUCGCCAUUUAAAGUGGUACGCGAGCUGGGUUUAGAACGUCGUGAGACAGUUCGGUCCCUAUCUGCCGUGGGCGCUGGAGAAUUGAGGGGGGCUGCUCCUAGUACGAGAGGACCGGAGUGGACGCAUCACUGGUGUUCGGGUUGUCAUGCCAAUGGCACUGCCCGGUAGCUAAAUGCGGAAGAGAUAAGUGCUGAAAGCAUCUAAGCACGAAACUUGCCCCGAGAUGAGUUCUCCCUGAGACUUUAAGUCUCCUGAAGGAACGUUGAAGACGACGACGUUGAUAGGCCGGGUGUGUAAGCGCAGCGAUGCGUUGAGCUAACCGGUACUAAUGAACCGUGAGGCUUAACCUUACAACGCCGAAG
RNAcentral lists this ribosomal RNA (3019 nucleotides) under Klebsiella pneumoniae. RNAcentral describes it as "23S ribosomal RNA". It matches the Rfam family "Bacterial large subunit ribosomal RNA". The record is from RNAcentral. Lineage: Bacteria; Pseudomonadati; Pseudomonadota; Gammaproteobacteria; Enterobacterales; Enterobacteriaceae.